Molecule: long non-coding RNA, 438 nt
Filed under: Pan troglodytes (chimpanzee)
Lineage: Eukaryota; Metazoa; Chordata; Mammalia; Primates; Hominidae
Description: lincRNA
Source: RNAcentral
GCCAGCUUGCUAACGGCCUUGCCCCAUUCAGAUGCAUCGAACUCACAGAACAUCGCUCCCCAGCUGCUGGCUCGCGGUUCUGAAAGUGCCUGAAUAGAAAACCACUCAUUUCCCUUCGCAAAAGAGGCACCCAAAGCAGAUAUUUCAAUAUAUUCCAAUUUAGCCGAGGGAAGCCAGAACAUGGAUGUUGUUGCCAAGGAAACCACCUCCUUCCUCCUGUGUGCUGUGCAUACGUGUAUCACUUCAUCUCUCUGCUCUCCAAGCUUGAAUCUAGAUCUGACGUGGAUAUCCUGCCACAGUUCCGAAGUCUACCUAGUGCCCCAGCUGAACCUGCCCUGGCUCCUAGGUGGGGUGUGGACAUCUGUGGCAUCCCUCCCCAACACCCCACCAAGCUGGGCUGCAAGACGGGUUAUGGUGGCCCCAUGACUUCCUUCCUUG